AAGGAUCAUUACCGAGUGAGGGCCCUCUGGGUCCAACCUCCCACCCGUGUCUAUCGUACCUUGUUGCUUCGGCGGGCCCGCCGUUUCGACGGCCGCCGGGGAGGCCUUGCGCCCCCGGGCCCGCGCCCGCCGAAGACCCCAACAUGAACGCUGUUCUGAAAGUAUGCAGUCUGAGUUGAUUAUCGUAAUCAGUUAAAACUUUCAACAACGGAUCUCUUGGUUCCGGCAUCGAUGAAGAACGCAGCGAAAUGCGAUAAGUAAUGUGAAUUGCAGAAUUCAGUGAAUCAUCGAGUCUUUGAACGCACAUUGCGCCCCCUGGUAUUCCGGGGGGCAUGCCUGUCCGAGCGUCAUUGCUGCCCUCAAGCACGGCUUGUGUGUUGGGCCCCCGUCCCCCUCUCCCGGGGGACGGGCCCGAAAGGCAGCGGCGGCACCGCGUCCGGUCCUCGAGCGUAUGGGGCUUUGUCACCUGCUCUGUAGGCCCGGCCGGCGCCAGCCGACACCCAACUUUAUUUUUCUAAGGUUGACCUCGGAUCAGGUAGGGAUACCCGCUGAACUUAAG
RNAcentral lists this ribosomal RNA (559 nucleotides) under Aspergillus fumigatus. RNAcentral's name for it is "eukaryotic LSU rRNA". The stretch from base 197 to 350 matches the Rfam family "5.8S ribosomal RNA". Lineage: Eukaryota; Fungi; Ascomycota; Eurotiomycetes; Eurotiales; Aspergillaceae. The record is from RNAcentral.